GGGCCGGUAGCUCAGUCUGGCAGAGCGACGGCCUCUUAAGCCGUCGGUCGAGGGUUCAAAUCCCUUCCGGCCCGC
RNAcentral lists this transfer RNA (75 nucleotides) under Haloarcula hispanica. RNAcentral's name for it is "tRNA-Lys". It matches the Rfam family "tRNA". Rfam says of the family: Transfer RNA (tRNA) molecules are approximately 80 nucleotides in length. Their secondary structure includes four short double-helical elements and three loops (D, anti-codon, and T loops). Further hydrogen bonds mediate the characteristic L-shaped molecular structure. tRNAs have two regions of fundamental functional importance: the anti-codon, which is responsible for specific mRNA codon recognition, and the 3' end, to which the tRNAs corresponding amino acid is attached (by aminoacyl-tRNA synthetases). tRNAs cope with the degeneracy of the genetic code in two manners: having more than one tRNA (with a specific anti-codon) for a particular amino acid; and 'wobble' base-pairing, i.e. permitting non-standard base-pairing at the 3rd anti-codon position. Lineage: Archaea; Methanobacteriati; Methanobacteriota; Halobacteria; Halobacteriales; Haloarculaceae. The record is from RNAcentral. RNAcentral also lists the same sequence under 1 other name.